Molecule: ribosomal RNA, 468 nt
Filed under: uncultured bacterium
Lineage: Bacteria
Description: partial 16S ribosomal RNA
Rfam family: Bacterial small subunit ribosomal RNA
Source: RNAcentral
GACGAACGCUGGCGGCGUGCUUAACACAUGCCAGUCGAACGGAAAGGCCCUGCUUUUGUGUGGUGCUCGAGUGGCGAACGGGUGAGUAACACGUGAGUAACCUGCCCUUGACUUUGGGAUAACUUCAGGAAACUGGGGCUAAUACCGGAUAGGAGCUCCUGCUGCAUGGUGGGGGUUGGAAAGUUUCGGCGGUUGGGGAUGGACUCGCGGCUUAUCAGCUUGUUGGUGGGGUAGUGGCUUACCAAGGCUUUGACGGGUAGCCGGCCUGAGAGGGUGACCGGCCACAUUGGGACUGAGAGACGGCACAGACUCCUACGGGAGGCAGCAGUGGGGAAUAUUGCACAAUGGGCGGAAGCCUGAUGCAGCAACGCCGCGUGCGGGAUGAAGGCCUUCGGGUUGGAAACCGCCUUCGCCUGUGACGAAGCGUGAGUGACGGUAAUGGGUAAAGAAGCACCGGCUAACUACGUG